RNAcentral lists this ribosomal RNA (502 nucleotides) under uncultured Glomeromycotina. RNAcentral's name for it is "partial small subunit ribosomal RNA". It matches the Rfam family "Eukaryotic small subunit ribosomal RNA", at positions 591 to 1092 of the family's 1831-position model. The record is from RNAcentral. Lineage: Eukaryota; Fungi; Glomeromycota.
CCAAUAGCGUACAUUAAAGUUGUUGCAGUUAAAAAGCUCGUAGUUGAACUUAGGGGUUCACCCAUUGGUCAGGCUUAAUUGUCUGUACUGGUGAGAUGAGUCUCUACCUUCUGAGGAACUUUCAUGCCAUUUAUUUAGUGUGCUGGGAAAUCAGGACUGUUACUUUGAAAAACUUAGAGUGUUUAAAGCAGGCUAACGUCUGAUUACAUUAGCAUGGAAUAAUGAAAUAGGACGGAUUGAUUCUAUUUCGUUGGUUUCUAGGGUUACCGUAAUGAUUAAUAGGGAUAGUUGGGGGCAUUAGUAUUCAAUUGUCAGAGGUGAAAUUCUUGGAUUUAUUGAAGACUAACUACUGCGAAAGCAUUUGCCAAGGAUGUUUUCAUUAAUCAAGAACGAAAGUUAGGGGAUCGAAGACGAUCAGAUACCGUCGUAGUCUUAACCACAAACUAUGCCGACUAGGGAUCGGACGCAGUUAAUUUUAUAAUGACGUGUUCGGCACCUUACG